This 521-nucleotide long non-coding RNA is filed under the name Pogona vitticeps (central bearded dragon). Its description in RNAcentral is "lncRNA (ENSPVIG00000013230.1)". Lineage: Eukaryota; Metazoa; Chordata; Lepidosauria; Squamata; Agamidae. The record is from RNAcentral.
GUAGCUUCUAAUGCUCCUGGGUAACUCAUUUAUGUACAGAUGAAGCUAAAAGGAGCCAUGAUAUGCUAUAUGUGGGAACACAAGACUAUGCGUACAGGUCCCAUUUAAAGUCUCGUGCUUUAUUAUUUACAUUAAACAGAUCCUGCUGAAGAUAAAGAGCUAUUCGACAAGACAAGAGGAACUGAUGACCAAGGACAAAAUAAGAUAUAUAUUAAGCCCAGCCGACACGUUGGCCCCUUCACAACCAUUGUUCUUGGUUGGCCUGAAAACAGCAACCGCUCUCUCUACACAUGGUCGUGUGGGUACUGCUGGCCUGAAUGGGCUGAAUGUGUGGAACAGAAAUCCAUCCGCACAGACCAAAGAGAAAUCCAGAUCCCGCACGCCUGCUUACCUCCUCCCAGCUCUGCCGUGACUGUGAAAGUUUUGGUCCAAAACCCAGAGAAAGAAGACAAAGGGGAUGAGCAGUGCCUUUACGUCACAGCAAGAAAAGAACUGAGACCCCAAAUCAGGUGUGCUUUUAU